Long non-coding RNA from Dreissena polymorpha, 3725 nucleotides. RefSeq lists it as uncharacterized. The record is from RefSeq and is a predicted model, not a curated record. The transcript is spliced from 2 exons. Lineage: Eukaryota; Metazoa; Mollusca; Bivalvia; Myida; Dreissenidae.
ACUAUGACGUACCCUUUGGGUCAAAAGUACAGAUACGCCAACAGCUUAAAAUAGAUAUCACAGCGGUGACAAAAUUGUUACCGCGGUGACAUUUUUGUCACUGCGGUAAUAAAUUUAUCACUGCGGUGAUAUAUUUGUAACUGUUGUGAUACUUUGUUUGACCCAAACAGUUUGAUAAGAGCUAAAUCGAACUAACCAAUGAAACAACGUCUUGCAAAACGGCAAAUCGGCGAAUAUUUACUGCGAAGUUUUCAAGAUGUCUGCCUCCAUGGAUACUGUAAACAACUUUUCAGAUCAUGAGUUUGGUAAUUUUAAUCUUCGGACACAAGGAUGACGACAAUUAAGAGUCCAUCAAUGGUUGUGAAAUCAAGGAUAUUCUAUUGGAAGGAAAGACAUGAAUGCAUUCAAGUUUCCUGUGAGCAAUAUGAUUUCCUGACUUUGCCUUACAGUAUAAAACAAGAGAGUUAAACACUUGAAACUUGAAAAGAUGUGGUCCUAGAACCUGAAAUGGCAACUCCAGCUCUCUACAAAAGCAUCAUCUGGAAUCCAACUAUGUACAAUCAAAAAAUUAAUGUGUGUCUUAAUUUUGUCUUUUUAGAGCCCUGACGGGUCUUAAGAUAUCAGAUGUUUUAAAAUUCAUUGUGUUUGUGCUGCAAGUUUUAUGAACUGGUUAUAAAGCUUAUGUAUGAAGAACCGUUUACUGCCUGGUUAGCUGCAGUAGAGCACUCAUAGGAAUUGGGAGAUCUGUGGAAUCCCUUUGUGGCUUGCAAAUUUCAACCUGUUUUCAAAAAUUGCUUAGUUGGUCAGUGUGUUAAUAUUUCAAUUUUCAGGUCUGGUAAAGAAAGUUAUUUAAAGGCAGUGUGCAAGGUUUUCCUUAAUAAUAGCAUGUACACAGGAAAAAAAAGCUUAAUAUUAGAUAUUUUGUUAUAAUCAGUUUGUGGUCCGUCCAUAGCUAAACAUGAACAUAGAUAUUUUUUACUUUUAUUAGUACUAUAUACAUAUUAUAAAUAAAAGGUUGUAUCUUGCAUCUUCUAAUCCUUAAAGUGGCAUGGUGGCCUAGUGUGUGUGUUGUUUAUCUAUGAAAUUUAUACAUGUAUACUAAUAUCUAGGCUACAUUAUGAUGUACUUCUCAAAGAACAGUAUGUUUAAAAUGCAGGUUUAUACUAAUUUAAAUACAGGUACAAAUUAAUCCUGUGUUGUAUAUAGCAGAAUGUCCCUUAUUUUCACUGUUAUCUUUUAAAACUGUUCAGGUACACUUCACCUGCAUAAAACUAGUUCAGAUAUAUAUGUCCCAUAGAGCAAAACAAUUGUCACUAAAUCAUUGUAUAAUCGUUAUUGGCAGUUCACUUCUGUAGUUUCUGAAAUGAAAAAUUGUUGUUACCUACCUUCACUCUUAAUUCAGUUUGAGUGGAAUGCUUAAUUUCAUUUUUUUUUCUUUAUUAGUUGUAAGUAGUGGGCUCUGUGUUCUGAUUAGUUCCUAAAUUGAACACAUGUUUAAACGUCGGUUGUUAAAUUGUAUAACAUGUUAAUGCAGAAUUGUACCAUAACAUGAAAUUGUAUUUUUUGCUUUGUACAUUGUUUGAAAUGUUACCAUCUUGUUUCUAAUAAAUGUUUUUUAUAAUUCACCAUCUAGUCCUAUUUGCAAAAAAGUGAACCAUUUAAAUAUUGUAUUUAAAGUAUACACCCGUUAGCCUUACUUAAGUCGUGAACAUUUCGUAGGCAUUUGUUAUCCCCAGUAAUAGGCGGAGGGAUAUUGUUUUGGCGCUGUUUGUCCGUCCUUCCGUCCGUCCGGCACUUUUGUGUCCAGAGCCAUAUCUUGUUAGUGCUUUAGCGGAUUUCAUUGAAACUUGGUAUGAGUAUAUUAUAUGGAUAAGAGGAUGAUGUACACUUUGUAUCUUGAAAAAAAUGCUUUUUAAUAUAAUCUUAGAGCUUUAUCUUCACUAACACAUGAGCCAGAGCCAUGAAACUUGCCAUAGUUGUUCUCAAUCAUCUAGGGGUGCUUCACAUUCAACAUCCAUAAUUCUAGGGGCUAAGGUCAUGGCCCUUUGUAUCUUGAAAAAAAUGCUUUUUGAUAGAAGCUUAGAGCUUUAUCUUCAUUAACACAUGAGCCAGAGCCAUGCAACUUGCCCUAGUUGUUCUCAAUCAUCUAGGGGUGCUUCACAUUCAACAUCCAUAAUUCUAGGGGCUAAGGUCAUGGCCCUUUGUAUCUUGAAAAAAAUGCUUUUUGAUAGAAGCUUAGAGCUUUAUCUUCAUUAACACAUGAGCCAGAGCCAUGCAACUUUCUAUAGUUAUUCCAAUCAUCUGGGGUUGUUUCACAUUCAACACCCAUAAUCCUAGGGGCUAAGGUCAAGGUCACACAUUGAGGUCAAAGGUCACAAAUUUGAGGAAUUAUUCAUUAAUUGGUAAUUCCUUUACUAUGCAUCAAGGAAUUCUGUUAUAACUGUCACAAUUGUUCUCAAUUAUCUAGCUGAGUUUCAAAUAUAAGAUCCAGGUUGCUAGGGUCAUGGUCAAAGUCACACACAAAGGUCAAAAUCACACAUUUUGAUCAUAUAUAUAUAUAUAUAUAUAUAUAUAUAUAUAUAUAUAUAUAUAUAUAUAUAUAUAUAUAUAUAUAUAUAUAUUAAAACUCAGACCCCACAUAGAUUGCAACCGUCAAUAUUUUCUACACCGAAGUACCAUUAAAAGACCAGUAUUGUUAGUGAGUAUGCACAUUAAGAUCUUAUGCUGAAUGUUCAUUUGGAGUAUGAAUGCUAUUCCAACCACUAUUUCACUUUUAAAAUAUGUAACCACCAAUUGCGAGUCCGCAUGCAAAGAUGUAUUGUAUUUAUUAAAUUUAGAAUUUCUAAAUUCUGGAUAUUAUUUAGAGUAGCAGCAAUCUCAACAUUUCUUACACAAAUUUUAUUCUGUUAAUAAGACGUGUAUAGUAUAGUGCAGGUUAUAAUCUGUUUUUAAAACUAUUAUAUCUAAACAUGUAAUAUACUUUUCUAUUAUUGCAUAAAAAUAGUCAUGUAUUAGUUUUAAUACAUUUUAAAAGUACAUAGGUGAGACUGUAUCAAUUUACUGAUGUUUUUAUCAGUGUAAAUAAUGAAUAACAUGUAUGUACAUUAAGGUCCCUUAUAAGUCUUUUGUUGAACGGUCAUAUAGAAUGCAAUGUAUCUAUUUUAUGAAUGUUGAAAGACAUUUGUACAAUACAUUGUAUAUAGACUGGGACUAUAACAAUGAACUAAAAUUGCUUGCUAAAACAUUUGAAUGAAGUUGAAGAAAGGUAACUCUUUAGGGCUUAAAAAUGGUUGGCAAUAUGGUUCGAGUUACUUCCCUUCAAGCUUACGUGUGGCUAGCAAUUUUACUUAAUACAUUAUGAAAACUGAUUUUAAGUUGAUAUUACAUUGGAGAUUUAUAUUAUCACCACGAUUCAUCUUAAUCAAGGAAUGACCAUGGUAAUUGGAAGAUCUUUUAAGAUGUGUAAUUGUUUGCGCAAUAAUGCAUUUUGUAAUGACGGGCACUAUAUUGGAAGUGUAUGGCAUUCUUGAUAGGGUCGGUGGUGGUAAUGUAGUUUUUACCAUGUAUAGUCAUGAUAGUCAUGUAACGUACAUUGAUAAGCGUUGAAUAAGUCUCUUAUAAUUCCUUUCAUGAAUGGCCAAUGUUGUAUCUAUAGCUUUAUGUUUUAUAUAUGCAUUGUGAAAAUUGUAAAUAUUGGAUGAGACUAUAAUAAACUAUAAAACGUG